This 250-nucleotide ribosomal RNA is filed under the name uncultured bacterium. Its description in RNAcentral is "partial 16S ribosomal RNA". It matches the Rfam family "Bacterial small subunit ribosomal RNA", at positions 107 to 353 of the family's 1533-position model. The record is from RNAcentral.
UGAGUAACGCGUGAGUAACCUGCCUUUCAGAGGGGGAUAACGUUCUGAAAAGAACGCUAAUACCGCAUGAGACUACAGAGCUGCAUGGCUCAGUGGUCAAAGGAGCAAUCCGCUGAAAGAUGGACUCGCGUCCGAUUAGAUAGUAGGCGGGGUAACGGCCCACCUAGUCGACGAUCGGUAGCCGGACUGAGAGGUUGAACGGCCACAUUGGGACUGAGACACGGCCCAGACUCCUACGGGAGGCAGCAUG